UGCUGGGAUUAUAGGCAUGAGACACUACACCUGGUCAGUAUCAUUAUCUUGGCCAUUUUAUGGUUAAGGGAAUAUAGACCUGGCAAGUUUCUAUAUCUUGUUCCAGAUCACAUAGCUAGUAAGCUUUGAGGCUCAUCCUAGGGUCACUGCUGGAAUAACCUGCAUUUUUCUACUGUACCGCAUGUAUUCUUCUGCUAAUUUUCUUACUGAGAGAGAAGGUAGUUCUUCUAAGUAUCGUAUCAUCCAAAAGUUGCUUAACUAAGAGCUCCAGCAUCUGAAUCCCUGAGCAUACUUCUUUUCCCAUGCAUCAUACCUGUUUCCCAUUCUCUGAAUAAUUCUGAAUUGUGAGCAAAUGUUCUUACAAAAUAAAGAAGAGAGUAUGUACCUGCAGCAUUGUCUUAAUGCAGAGGAUCUUAAGAAUAGCUCUGGAGCCAUGCAGGGAUCAUGGGCAGCCCUGUUAUAUAAGCCCAGCUCUUCUGCUUUUCUUGAAUUCCUGGGCUCAAGUGAUCUUCCCGCCUUGGCCUCCCAGAGUGCUGAGGUUGCAGGUAUGUGCCAUGUGCCUGGCCUGUUCCUCUUUAUCUCUUUGUAUUGAGAGGUUCUUGAGAAGCAUUUCCAUCUGCUUCCCAUCAUUUUCUCCCAUGUGCAGACUGGGUUAAAAGACCUUGAGGAAUCCCCGCUUUACGAAGCCUUAUCCAUGAGAGGACAAGGAGACCCUUGGUUUGUGGAUUCAGCUUUCACGGUCAUUGCCAUUAGUUGCCACCACUUCUAGGAGAGAUUGUUUCACUCGAUGCUGACCUGGAAAAUCCUGGUAGAGAUACAGGAACUCAUAGGACUUGGUCCCCACAACCUCAUGCCAGUAAGUGUGACAGACAGGCUCCCGUCUGCAUGAGGUGCUGCACAGUGCCUUUGUGAAUCUUCUGUCACUGUCUUCAUCCCCACCCCAGCCUGCUCACCUCUUCCCCUGUACUCCACAGCCAGCAGGCCAGUUUCGCCUGGUGGACCGUUUCCCCCACUUCACCUGCUGUGCCUCAUCUACUUCCUCCUGUCUGUUCUGGUGAAGCCUCCCGCGUCUUUUCUUGUGGUAAUGCCCGUUUCUGCCUCUCUAGACUUCUGCCAGUGUUUUUGUAUUUGACUUUUGAAAUUCGACUCAGACCUCCAAAUGAGGCCUGAGUCAACCCUAGCUUUUGGCGAGCUCACACCAUUUAUGGUGGGGGCCUGGCUGGUCACCUGCUCAUCUUAAAACCUGCCUUUCCUUGUGGAACUGUGUUUUCAACGAGGUUCUGACUGCUAAGCACUCAAGGCUGUGUACACUCAACGGUUGGGCUGUUGGAGGUCUCCCCAUGAGAACUUUAUUACAGAAUGGAUUAUGGAGCCUGGAAACGGAAGGUGGCCCAGUGAGGAAUGGUACUGCAUUCUCAGUCUCUGGGAGACCUGAGGCAGGGGAGCAGCAGGAGAGGAGGGAGGAGUGAGAAAGGCUUGUUAAAGGCUCUUGGAAGGAGAAGAGCCAGGGGAAAGGAGAAUGGUAACUGGGAAAUGGGCUAACCUCAGACCUACCUUUAGGGGACGCCUGAUUCGAGGGCCCAAGACCUCAAGCUCUCAGAAACUGGUAAGAAUUAUGCUCUCCCAGGUCCCAGUGAGGUGACUGUAGGUAACAGGCCCUUAGCAGAGGUGGCUGGGUUAAUCCCAGUCGGCUGCUUUUAUCUUUUAUUUUAUCGGCUCUUAGAAAGUAUGGUGCUCCUUCUGAGAGGACUCUUUAACAUUGCAGUGGGCCAAUCACUUUAUAUCAUUAUCUCAUAAUUAUUAUAUUACAUUACAUUAUAUUAUGACAAUUCCUGUUUUGUAAGUGAGUAACUGAAGCUCAGUUACGUAGCCUGUCCAUGGUCACAGUGGAACAUGAACCCAGUUUGUGAUGUCAAAGCAUUUCCAUCUUUAUGGCAAGCCUUCGUAGGAAUCAAAAGAAGCUUAUAAAAGUAGGAGAAGUUACCUUAUCCUCUUUCCCCAUUCAGAAUUUGGGCUGCGGCCAGGUGCAGUGGCUCACGCCUGUAAUCCCAGCAUUUUGGGAGGCCGAAGUGGGCAGAUCAUGAGGUCGAGAGAUCGAGACCAUCCGGGCCAACAUGGUGAAACCCUGUCUGAACCAAAAA
Molecule: long non-coding RNA, 2141 nt
Organism: Macaca fascicularis (crab-eating macaque)
Lineage: Eukaryota; Metazoa; Chordata; Mammalia; Primates; Cercopithecidae
Source: Ensembl